RNAcentral lists this transfer RNA (67 nucleotides) under Marmota monax (woodchuck). RNAcentral's name for it is "tRNA.Ala". Lineage: Eukaryota; Metazoa; Chordata; Mammalia; Rodentia; Sciuridae. The record is from RNAcentral.
GGUUGUGGCUCAGUGGUGGAGCGCUUGCCUAGCACACAUGAGGCACUAGGUUUGAUCCCCAGCACCA